ACAGUUCCGACCUGGCGACUCCCGACUCGGCCAAGUUCAACACGACGCGAAGAGUCAUGGCCACCUUGCUUCACCGCCUUCUGAAGGACAGCAGCAUUGGCCCCGCUUUCCUGGGAUGUGAAACAACAGCCUUCAGGCCCGUCAGGCAAGGGGACG
Long non-coding RNA from Tyto alba (common barn owl), 156 nucleotides. RefSeq lists it as uncharacterized. Lineage: Eukaryota; Metazoa; Chordata; Aves; Strigiformes; Tytonidae. The record is from RefSeq and is a predicted model, not a curated record. The transcript is spliced from 3 exons.